Monodelphis domestica (gray short-tailed opossum) is the source of this 5712-nucleotide non-coding RNA. Lineage: Eukaryota; Metazoa; Chordata; Mammalia; Didelphimorphia; Didelphidae. The record is from RefSeq and is a predicted model, not a curated record.
UCAUCAGGGGCGGAGCCGGGGCCGCGGAGCGACUGCGUUGGACCCUCUUCGGCCGCUGUCUUAGGGCGGAUCCGGAAGGUGGGUAGGAGGUGGAGGCCCAGAAGAGAAGGAAAUCUAGCCCGAGAUGGAGUUCGACAGAGAGAAUCUGAAGCGGCAGCUGAGCAAGGUGCGGAGCUGAGGUGGCGCCUGGAGUUGAGUGCAGUGCGGAGGGCUUGGAACGACUGCUAGGGGCGAAAUUGGGGCCAGAGCCUGCGGAGGGUGGGCGGAGACACGGGGCGGUCUGGGGGCGGAGCCUGGGUGAGGGGGGCUGCCCUUCCUCCUGCGUCCCUAUGGGUCAGAGUUAGUAGAGACUCUUGCUCAGGUACACGUUCUUGGCUCCCUCAGUUUAAGGAUGGGGAAACCGAGGCUCUGAGCGGUUCGGCUAAGGUUGUCCAGCUGAGUAGAGAGCUGCUGGGCUUGACCCCAAACCUUCAACCUCCCCCAAGCCGGCCUUUUAAGUGUUUUUAGUGUCGAAUUAAUGCUCUUUUACGUCGCUGUCACUUCCCACAGAUUCACCCCUCCCUCAAUUCCACCCCACGGAACCCUGCUUUAUUUUAUUAUUUAUAUAUAUAUAUAUAUAUAUAUAUAUAUAUAUAUAUAUAUAUAUAUAUAUAUAUAUAUCCAUCUCUGUGUAUAAUGUUCUGGUUCUGCUUCUUUCAUCAUGCAUCAAUUCCUGGAGGUCAUUCCAGUUCACAUGGAAUUCCUCCAGUUUAUUAUUCCUUUGAGCACAAUAGUAUUCCAUCACCAACCAUUUUUGCUACCACAAAGAGCGCAGCUAUGAAUAUUUUUGUACAUGUCUUUUUCCUUAUUAUCUCUUUGGGGUACAAACCUAGCAGUGCUAUGGCUGGAUCAAAGGGCAGGCAGUCUUUUCGUGCCCUUUGGGCAUAGGGGAACCCUGCUUUAGAACAAAUGAGCACUGCCAGUGAGUCAAAGGUGUUUUAAGCACAUGUAGUUAUCAAAUAUUUAUUAAGUACCUACUAUGUGCCAGUCAGUAAACACUUAGUAAACUGACCAAGUAGCAUAAUAAAUUAAAGUAGGAAGUUAAGAGUUCUCUGACAAAGCGACCUCCUCACCACAAAUAAACAAACAAAAAUACAGGCCCUGCUCCCUAGGAGCCCAUUGUCAAAUAAGCAAACAUCUAUGUACAAACAGGAUAUAUACAGAAUAAGUUGGAGAUACUUGACUAGGGAUGAUACUAGCUUUUUUAGCUGGGUUUUGGAAGCCUCCAGGUGAGAAAAGAAGAGAAUUCCAGGCUGGGGGAAGGGGAGGGUGACAGCCAGUGAAAAUUCCCAGAUGGAGCAUCUUGUUGGAGGAAGAGAAUGUGGAGGGAUGUAAAGUGUAAGAACACUGGAAGGGGCCAGGUGAAGGAGGGCUUUAAAAGGCAUAGGGGAUUUUAUAUUUUAUCCUGUAGUUUAUUGGGGGGGGGGGGGGGGAAGUGACAUGGUGCUUUGUGCUUUAAGAAGAGUGUUUUGACAACUAAAAUAAAGAUAAUCCCCUGGAGUUGAGAGAGACUUGAGUCAAGAAGCUCAAUGUUGGGAAUCUGUUUAUUGAAUUAGUCUGAUCCAGAAGUGAUUGAGACUGCACCAGGGUAGUGGUGGUGUGUGUGUGUGUGUGUGUGUGUGUGAGUGAGAGAGAGAAGGGAAACAAACAUAUAUAUGAGAUAAUGUGAAGGGUAUAAUCAGCAGGACUUGGCAACAGAUUUAAUAUGGGGGUCAGAGUGAAGAAUCAAAGAUGACAGAUAGGUUGUGAGCUUGGGUGACUGAGAAGAUAAGUGCCCUCAAUGGUAAUAGGAAAAUUAGAAAGAAGAAAGGAAGGGAAGAAACAAGAAUUUAUUAAGUCUUUAGUAUGUCCCAGACACUGCUGGGUUCUGUAGCUAGAAAUACUCCCAAUGAGGAAGCCAGUCCUUGACUUUGAAAUUACAAAGCUGGCACACUCAGCAUGAGUCCUCUUCAGGGGCAUUGUUUUAAAAUCUAGAAAUCAAGAACCAUGCCUGGAGGGGAAUGAAGCACCACAAACUACAUAGAGUCAACACCCUGGAACUCUGGAGAUGAGUCCAAACACUAGAUGAUUCUCCAAAGAACAAUUCAACUUGUGGAACUUACUUACCAUAUGGGGAACUAAGGCCUGGGAAGUAUGAUUGGCAUUACUAUGGCUACCAGGAAAUGAGAAGUCCAAGAGAGGAUUAUCAGAGAAGAGGCUGAUGCUUUACAAUAGAUUCAAAAGGGAAGGGUCCAGCCAAGGGCUGAGCUAUCUGGGAGAGGACUUUGAUAUAAUGGGAGAAAAUACUAAGGCAAAAAGGUACUUAACAUCUGAUAAAGGUCUACCUUUAGGUCUUUUGUUCUGUCUGAAAUGGACAAGUCUGGGACUUCCUUCCUCAUGAAUUCUCAAGGGAUGGGGGCAAAUUUGGGGUCUCCAGGUUUCAAGUUGACAGGGAUAAUCCAAAAGUUAUAAUUAACAAGUUGAAUGAGAAAAUCAGGAACCAAAGUACCUCAAUAGUCUAGAAUAGUGAAGCAGAUGUUAAGGUAAAAUCCUAGUAUGAUUCAAAAAAAUCAAUUGCAUCAUACAAAUGUAAAACUAUCUGGAGGUUUUAGAGGAUUUGAAUAAGUUUAGUAAUUGAAUAGUGUGUCAGCCUUUUUUUUUUAACCCUUACCUUCCAUUUUAGAAUCAAUACUAUAUAUUGGUUCCAAGGCAGAAGAGUGGUAAGGGCUAGGCAAUGGGGGUUAAGUGGCUUGCCCAGGGUCAUACAGGUGGGAAGUGUCUGAGGUCAGAUUUGAACCUAGGACCUCCCAUCUCUAGGCCUACCUCUCAAUCCACUGAGCUACCUAGCUGUGUCCCCAAUAGUGGGUCAAUCUUGAAAAACACAGAACCAACGAAGUAGUUAGAAAGAAUAAGUCUUUAAUCAGGACAAGGGAGACAAUACUCUAAUGGCCUCCAAACAGAGUAAUAUGCAAAGUACCAUACAGACACAAGCUCUGGGACUCGGGAAAAACUGUCCCUGGGAAAAUGCCCUUCAAAAAGGGAUUUUUCCAAUGAACUGGAGAACUUAUAUAUGUUCUUAUAUAUAUUUUGGGAAAUAAAGGACUGGAAGGACAAUUGAUUGGUUUAUGUAAAAACCAGGGAAGGGGAAGCUGGGAGGGGCCUAGAUACCAUGGGAGAAACUUCUAAUAUCAAAAGAUACUUAAGAUUUGAUUCCCUCUACUGAUCCUAUCUAGGCUGAGAUCAUCAGGUACUUGAAGGUCUCCAGUUCAGUCUAAAACAAGGGUCAGUCUGGGACUUCUCUAAAGGCACGUUCCCAAGGGACAAGGGCAAAUUUACAGGAUUCCAUAAAACAAGGACUUCAAGAAGUCAAAUAAAUUAAGUCAAUCUUAGGCUUCAUUGAGGGUGUGCCGUGAAAGAUAAGGAGUUCAGUUUUGAACAUGCUGAAUUGAAAAUGCCUAUGAGACAUCCAGUUUUAGAUAUCCAAAGGCAGAUUGGAGAUGCAAGUUCAAGGGAUAAGUUAGGGCUGAAUAAAUAGAUCUGAGAAUCACCUACAAAAAAAAGAUGAUGAUAGUUAAGUCUUCAGGAACUGAUGAAAUCAAGUGGAAUGGUACCAAAGGAGAAGACGGCCUAGGAUAGAUAAAAUUAUACCUAUAGUUAGCAAAUGGACCAUGGUUGAAGAUUCAGCAAAAGAGACUGAGAAGGAGCGGUCAGACAGGAAGGAUGUGGGAAUGAAAGAAAAUGCAUUGUUAAUUGAAAAAAUUCAUUAAAAAAUAUAUGGCCAUUUUUCAAAAAAGUGGAGGCACUGAAUUUAUAUGGCUUUCUCAAAGAGUUUAGCUGAGAAGAGGUAGCGAAAUAUUAGAAGGAGCCAGUAGAUAGAAAGAUUAAAGAUUAGAGGAGGGGGUAUGGGAGAUAAAAAGGGAAGAAAAUGGAAGGCAGUGGAAUCAAGGGCGUACAUAGAAUGGUUUGCCUUGGCAAAGAAAAAGGCUCUCAGUUUUAUAUUGGAAUGAAGGAUGAGAUAGUGAAGGUUUAUAUUAGAGGGUUGGUUUGGGUAUAAUGGAGGAAAGGUAGAUGAUAAAUGUUCAGAAGGUAGAAGGAGGGUGAGAUGGAUUCUCCCCCUUCAGUCUUCUUCAAAAAUGUCUUUCCACUAACCCUGCCUUUAUUUCCCUCUAAUAACUGAUUUAAUGAGUGAACCUUUUCCUUUGGGGAAAGAGAGAGAAAUCAGCUCUCUCCCCCUUCAAUAUGACAAGGAAGUCAAUUUAAGAUAACUGACAACUUUAUUCUAACAAAUGGUGGUUAGGGGUAAGAUAAGAAAGAGGUCUGCAGGUUGGAUUGGAAAGAGUGUAAGGAAAGUCCCUGUCUGUCUAAAAAUAUCAUUCUCCCUCCCCCCAAAGUUGAGAGACCCAGGCUUGUGAGCCUAGUCUCUUAAGAGGCUUAGGGUUUUGUAACCCCUGGUCUUAUCACAGCAGAGCCAAUGCCCAGCCUCAGGGUGUCACAGGAGCUGUGUGAGAUCUUAUGUUGUUCUUAUUCUUCUCAGGUUCUGCCACAAUUCUUGGUAUUUUGGGGGAAAUGGUGGUUAGGAUCAAUGAGGGAUUUUGUAUGGCUCAGGAGAGAAAUCUCUGAUCAGCCUGUCACCCUUGCUAUCUCAAGAUAGAGAGAGAGAUUAACUGUCUCCCACCUGGAAUCACUCUUCCCUCAAGAUUCCAAGCCUCUUUCACCAUCCCCCGCUAUGGAUGCAAACUUCUGCAUGUCUUCCCAGCUCUGCCCUUCAAAGUCUCUGGAUCAUUCCUCUAUCACAGUACAAAUUCAGGGAUCUUACAGUGGAAGAAUUAACGAAAGUAAAUAUGUUGUAUCCAAAUUUCAGAUUCUCCAUGGAUACCUAUGUAUUCAAAGACAGUUCUCAGAAAGAUCUUCUGAAUUUUACUGGCACUAUUCCUGUGAACUAUCAGGGUAAUACAUAUAAUAUACCAAUUCGUUUUUGGAUUUUGGAUUCUCACCCAUUUGCACCCCCCAUCUGCUUCUUGAAGCCAACUGCAAACAUGGGAAUUUCAGUGGGAAAACAUGUGGAUGCUCAGGGUAGAAUAUAUCUGCCCUAUCUGCAAAACUGGAGUCAUCCUAAAUCAAUCAUCACUGGGUUAAUCAGUGAAAUGAUUAUCAAGUUUCAGGAGGAACUUCCUCUGUACUCCUUAUCUUCUGCUGCUGAGACUCAGCAGGUAGAAUUGCUAGCCUAUAUUUCAAAGAUCACUCAAGGUAUCUCAGACAUGAAUUCAAAAAAUCAAGAAAAAAGUGUCAACAAAAUUACUGUGGUUGGAAGUGGAGAGCUGGGGAUUGCUUGUGUAUUAGCAAUUUUAGCAAAGGGUGUUGCAGACAAGGUGGUCCUUAUAGACUUCUCAGAAGGGACAAAAGGAGGAGCAAUGGACAUAGACAUUUUCGAGCUUCAAAAUGUGGAGAUCAGCAAAGUUCUUUCUCUGGAUGUGGAUAGCAUUCUUUCUCAUAAGUCCCUCAGAAAUGUUCAAGCCAUACUUUGAUGCUACCUUUGAUGUGUUUACAGGAGGAUGGAAAUAAGUUCAGUAGAAAAAACAAUACUUGUCUGCCUCUUGGAAUUCCAAAGUGGUGAUCUUCACGGUUAACUCCUUAGGUAAUUCUCACACUUACCUCGAUGUGGUACAGAAUAAUGUGGACAUGUUUAAAGAGCUC